Molecule: ribosomal RNA, 386 nt
Filed under: Tubificoides insularis
Lineage: Eukaryota; Metazoa; Annelida; Clitellata; Tubificida; Naididae
Description: partial 12S ribosomal RNA
Rfam family: Bacterial small subunit ribosomal RNA
Source: RNAcentral
UCCCAGCACUAAAACCAGCCGGGGACUACAAACUACAUUUUAAAACUCAAAGAUCUUGGCGGUGUCUUACACACUCAGGGAAACCUGUCCCUUAAUUCGAUAUUCCACGAAUGCUCGAACCCUUCUCGAUACAUCAGCCUGUGUACUGCCGUCAUAUGUAUACCUCAGAGAGAAGUAUGCGCACUAGAGACACCCUACCAAAGUCAGGUCAAAGUGCAGCCUAUGAAGGGCCGGUGAUGGGUUACACUCCUAAUAAGGCCACCAAAGCUCCAAUCACUUUGAAAAUAGACACAAAAGCUGGACUUGAAAGUAAUGACAGGUACUAAACUAUCAUGAAGAGAUCCCUAAGACAUGUACAAAUCGCCCGUCACUCUCACCGAAAGGCG